CUUCUCUUGUGCUCCGCACAGGUACAAACACACGGACAGAACGCGCCGCAAGGGCAAGUCCAGCACAUGUCUAUUGCGGCAUCGAAAUCGACGAGAGCAUGUUUUCCUUUCACUUUUUUUUUGUGACGUUGGAACUGCGUGUCACCGCUCGCCGCUUCUUUCGGGCGAUGCCGACCACUGCUACGCCACGUCGCGGUGUCGGACAGACUCCACUUUCUCCUGCCCACUAGCUCAUCUUGACGUGCGCCACGCCAGGUAUAUCAGCGCUGGUACCUUACGCCUCCGCCGAUGCUGCCAUAACCCGCUGCUGCCGCUGACUCAUAUGAUGCGGUGGUGGGGCCGCUUCUCAUCACCUUUGGUUUUUUUUCUUUCACGCGAAAGGCAGGCAGGCAGACGCUGCGCGUGACAACUCAGAGUGUGCACUGCAUUCCGCAAGGCCCCACCCCCUUCUCGCAUGCGGAAAGAAAGAAAAAAGGCAAGAAAAAAAAAGAGACUUGCGUUGCACGCACGAUACGCAAACUCUCUUGCGGGGCGCACAGACACCGACGCGCGCAACCGGUGUUCCUGCGCACAUUGCUUGCGGGGCGAAGGCCCUUAUCCAAGGUGGAGAUACGGGUAACGAAAGCCGAAGCCUCUUUUUCACCGAAGAUGGGUGACGCUUACGACUUCUCAUCAACCUUAGAAGGGUCUUUGUGGUGGUCUUUCACCGUGAACAAGUCGCACCAUGUGGUGGGCUCCGUAUCCCACUGGUGUCUACAUUUUCGGCGCCCCCCACCACGCCGCCGUGAUCGAUGGACUCUCUGUCCUUGGACGGCUCCUCCGUUCGUUUUUCUUCUCCCCCUCCUUCUUUCCCUCUUGCGGCGCAUUCAUUCUGCUGCGCUCUCAUGGCGCACUCCAUCGUCAUCUCCCGCUUUCCUCGCCCCCACCCCCACGUGUUGAUAUGCUUUUGCGAUGUUCUCUCUCUGUGACAUGCGCCGCCGCACGUUGUCCCACACACACACACACACAUUCCCUCCUGCGUGCACAUGCGCUGCCACUGCAUCCUGCAUGCGUUCUGCAACCAUCGUCAAACGAUGACCACCACACACUAUUGGGGUUGCGCAAG
This 1105-nucleotide unclassified non-coding RNA is filed under the name Leishmania donovani. RNAcentral's name for it is "gene:unknown". The record is from RNAcentral. Lineage: Eukaryota; Euglenozoa; Kinetoplastea; Trypanosomatida; Trypanosomatidae.